UCUCUGCUCAAUCCUUCAAAAUAAUCAACUUCUUUCAGUUUUCAAAACUUGUUUUUUAUUCAUUUCAAAAAUUUUCGGCUCAUCAAAUGAAGCAAAAUUUGCUGUCUGACUUUUUUCAAAAGCACUAAAAACGCACUUUCUAAGUAAUCAACAAAAAUAGCAAAAUGUGUUCUGGCUGUAGCCCUGGCUGUGGUCCUUGCUGCUGCUCGCCUUGUGUCUGCCCUUGCCGAUAUCUGAAGCGAACAGACUUCUGCUGUAGCUGGCCAUGCCCUUGCAAGGCACAUUGCUACAAUACGCCACCCAAGUGUUGCUGCUAGGUAGCCGCUUGAGAAAUAAUGCAACGGCGCAAACGGCCAGAAUUGUUUUUAAUAGAAUUUAAAAUGCUUUUGGAUUUAGAAAUUUUAAGUUAAAAAUAAAGUAAAAAAUUUGUAAAA
This is a long non-coding RNA of Anastrepha obliqua, 434 nucleotides long. RefSeq lists it as uncharacterized. Lineage: Eukaryota; Metazoa; Arthropoda; Insecta; Diptera; Tephritidae. The transcript is spliced from 2 exons. The record is from RefSeq and is a predicted model, not a curated record.